Molecule: transfer RNA, 63 nt
Filed under: Rattus norvegicus (Norway rat)
Lineage: Eukaryota; Metazoa; Chordata; Mammalia; Rodentia; Muridae
Rfam family: tRNA
About the family: Transfer RNA (tRNA) molecules are approximately 80 nucleotides in length. Their secondary structure includes four short double-helical elements and three loops (D, anti-codon, and T loops).
Source: Rfam by way of RNAcentral
GGGGAUUUAGCUCACCGGUAGAGCACUUGCCUAGCAAGCACGAGACCCUAGGUUCAGUCUCCA